GUAACUGCGAGUGAAGCGGGAAAAGCUCAAAUUUAAAAUCUGGCGGCCUUCGGCCGCCCGAGAUGUAUAACUAGAGAAGUGUUACCCGCGUUGGACCGUGUACAAGUCUCCUGGAAUGGAGCGUCACAGAGGGUGAGAAUCCCGUCUUUGACACGGACUACCAGGGCUCUGUGGUAUGCUCUCAAAGAGUCGAGUUGUUUGGGAAUGCAGCUCAAAAUGGGUGGUAAAUUCCAUCUAAAGCUAAAUAUUGGCGAGAGACCGAUAGCGAACAAGUACCGUGAGGGAAAGAUGAAAAGCACUUUGGAAAGAGAGUUAAACAGUACGUGAAAUUGCUGAAAGGGAAACGCUUGAAGUCAGUCACGUUGGCCGGGGAUCAGCCUUGCUUUUGCUUGGUGUACUUUCUGGUUGACGGGUCAGCAUCAAUUUUGACCGCUGGAAAAAGGCUUGGGGAAUGUAGCAGCUUCGGCUGUGUUAUAGCCCCUGGUCACAUACAGCGGUUGGGAUUGAGGAACUCAGCACGCCGCAAGGCCGGGUUUCGACCACGUUCGUGCUUAGGAUGCUGGCAUAAUGGCUUUAAGCGACCCGUCUUGAAACACGGACCAAGGAGUCUAACAUGCCUGCGAGUGUUUGGGUGCAAAACCCGAGCGCAUAAUGAAAGUAAAAGUUGAGAUCCCUGUCGUGGGGAGCAUCGACGCCCGGACCAGAACUUUUGGGACGGAUCCGCGGUAGAGCAUGUAUGUUGGGACCCGAAAGAUGGUGAACUAUGCCUGAAUAGGGUGAAGCCAGAGGAAACUCUGGUGGAGGCUCGUAGCGAUUCUGACGUGCAAAUCGAUCGUCAAAUUU
Molecule: ribosomal RNA, 843 nt
Filed under: Lepiota cholistanensis
Lineage: Eukaryota; Fungi; Basidiomycota; Agaricomycetes; Agaricales; Agaricaceae
Description: LSU rRNA
Rfam family: Eukaryotic large subunit ribosomal RNA
Source: RNAcentral